This is a long non-coding RNA of Carica papaya (papaya), 505 nucleotides long. RefSeq lists it as uncharacterized. NCBI's taxonomy places the organism in Eukaryota, Viridiplantae, Streptophyta, Magnoliopsida, Brassicales, Caricaceae. The record is from RefSeq and is a predicted model, not a curated record.
UCCUAUUCAUCGUCUUCUCCGUCUCCACUCUAAACCCUUCCAUUUUCCUUCUUUUCCGCUGCUUUAUUUUAUACUUCUCAUCUUUUUUCCAUCAUCUGCAAACCCAAUCUUCCUCCCUAUUAAUUGAAGAUCAUAUGAACAGAAGGAUCUUGUGACUGGCUUCUUUCCUCCGUCAAUGCGUGCUUCAGAGCUCAUCAUUGUUCGGGCGCACGUUUAUACAGUCAGAGUCAAGAAGAUGAGGGAGUAUCUUAACUUGUGGCUGAUGGAAUGGAACACCUUUGUAAGCUAUUUGGGGAUGAGGGAUUGCAGGCAUCCCUUCUGGGUUGGUACCUAAACCUGCUUUGUUACUGUUUGCUUGUGGAUUUGUUCUUAUCAUGUUGGUAUGCUUCUUUUAUUUUUCCACAAAAACAAAUAAGAUAUUUGAACCAUUUGAGCAAAUAUUUACACACAAAAAAUUUAAAAAAAAAAUGAAAGAACCAAAAUGAUUAUUCGAAGAGAAGAUUGA